This is a long non-coding RNA of Notolabrus celidotus (New Zealand spotty), 683 nucleotides long. RefSeq lists it as uncharacterized. The transcript is spliced from 5 exons. Lineage: Eukaryota; Metazoa; Chordata; Actinopteri; Labriformes; Labridae. The record is from RefSeq and is a predicted model, not a curated record.
UAUACCUACAUCUGCAUAGGGGCCAUGUAGGUUUCACUGAAGUUGACAUGCUACUGUUUAGAAUCCAAUUCCAACUACAACCUGAUGUCAAUAUAUGCCUUUGGGAACUAUGGUCAGGUGUAGCUAGUUAGCAAUACAUGUCUCCUGCUACACUUUCCAGUUUGCAACUUGAGAAGCAGCUGUGUUCUGAUCAAAAGCAAAAGUGACCCUCCAGGUUUGUGAUGCUGAUAGCAAUCAAUCAGAGGGAACAGAGGAAAGCUGGUUAAAAAACACAAGCUUGCUCUCUCAUCUUCCUCCCUCACCCUCACCCCUCCUCCUCCUCCUCAGUCAGCACAGCAGCAGGAAGCAGUAAUGGUGAUUGUAUUAACCCCGGGUAGAGAGCGCUGACCUUCGCUUCUGCUCAGCUGGAGUGCACACAGAAGGAGAGGGGGAGAGGGAAACAGAGGAAGCGCACUCUGCAAGGCCUGACGACGAACCUCACAAAGAUGCAUUCUCAAUAAAGCAAAGCAAGGCAAAUAUUUGUUUCCUCAGAAGUGAGCGUGGGCAAACCUUCCUCACAGCUCCAUAUGCUGCCAGCUGCCAAUCAAGUGGGCUGGAACCCUGAAACCAAUCGCAACCCCCUCCUCUCUCCUCUGUCUCCUCUUCUUCUCCUUCAGCAGAAAUGAAAAGAGCUGGUGUGUGUG